AGUGAACGCUGGCGGUAGGCCUAACACAUGCAAGUCGAACGGCAGCACAGUAAGAGCUUGCUCUUACGGGUGGCGAGUGGCGGACGGGUGAGGAAUACAUCGGAAUCUACUUUUUCGUGGGGGAUAACGUAGGGAAACUUACGCUAAUACCGCAUACGACCUACGGGUGAAAGCAGGGGAUCUUCGGACCUUGCGCGAUUGAAUGAGCCGAUGUCGGAUUAGCUAGUUGGCGGGGUAAAGGCCCACCAAGGCGACGAUCCGUAGCUGGUCUGAGAGGAUGAGCAGCCACACUGGAACUGAGACACGGUCCAGACUCCUACGGGAGGCAGCAGUGGGGAAUAUUGGACAAUGGGCGCAAGCCUGAUCCAGCCAUACCGCGUGGGGGAAGAAGGCCUUCGGGUUGUAAAGCCCUUUUGUUGGGAAAGAAAAGCAGCAGGUUAAUACCCCGCUGUUAUGACGGUACCCAAAGAAUAAGCACCGGCUAACUUCGUG
This 492-nucleotide ribosomal RNA is filed under the name uncultured bacterium. RNAcentral describes it as "partial 16S ribosomal RNA". It matches the Rfam family "Bacterial small subunit ribosomal RNA", at positions 29 to 507 of the family's 1533-position model. The record is from RNAcentral.